RNAcentral lists this unclassified non-coding RNA (172 nucleotides) under uncultured Cortinarius. Its description in RNAcentral is "sequence contains ITS1". The record is from RNAcentral. Lineage: Eukaryota; Fungi; Basidiomycota; Agaricomycetes; Agaricales; Cortinariaceae.
UUGAUAUAAACCUGAUGGGUUGUUGCUGGCUCUCCAGGGAGCAUGUGCACACCUUGUCAUCUUUAUAUCUCCACCUGUGCACUUUUUGUAGACCUUCUCAGGUCUAUGUUGCUUCAUUUUACCCCAAUGUAUGUCAAUAUAAUUGUCGUCUGAGUACUAUAUAAAACUUAUA